GGUGGGGUUCCCGAGCGUCCAAAGGGAGCAGACUGUAAAUCUGCCGUCAUCGACUUCGAAGGUUCGAAUCCUUCCCCCACCACCA
Molecule: transfer RNA, 85 nt
Filed under: Escherichia coli
Lineage: Bacteria; Pseudomonadati; Pseudomonadota; Gammaproteobacteria; Enterobacterales; Enterobacteriaceae
Also listed under: 2 other names
Description: tRNA-Tyr
Rfam family: tRNA
About the family: Transfer RNA (tRNA) molecules are approximately 80 nucleotides in length. Their secondary structure includes four short double-helical elements and three loops (D, anti-codon, and T loops). Further hydrogen bonds mediate the characteristic L-shaped molecular structure. tRNAs have two regions of fundamental functional importance: the anti-codon, which is responsible for specific mRNA codon recognition, and the 3' end, to which the tRNAs corresponding amino acid is attached (by aminoacyl-tRNA synthetases). tRNAs cope with the degeneracy of the genetic code in two manners: having more than one tRNA (with a specific anti-codon) for a particular amino acid; and 'wobble' base-pairing, i.e. permitting non-standard base-pairing at the 3rd anti-codon position.
Source: RNAcentral